GUCUUGAMACUUAAAGAAUUUGGCGGUAUUUUAGUCUAUUUAGAGGAAUCUGUUUUGUAAUCGAUAAUCCGCGUUGGACCUUACUUAAUUUUAUUAAAUAUGUAUACCGCCGUUGAAUUUAAAUCUUAUUAGAGUUAAUAAUUUAUUUAAUAUUUAUUAGAAAAUGUUUCAGGUCAAGGUGCAGUUUAUAUUUAAGUAUAAAUGGAUUACAAUUUUUGUAUGAAUAAUGAAUUAUUAGUUGUAAAUAUUAAUAUGAAGGUGGAUUUAAUAGUAAUUUUAUGUAGAUUGUUAUAUUGAUUUAUGGCUCUAAGAUAUGU
This 317-nucleotide ribosomal RNA is filed under the name Ectobiidae sp. 14 FL-2016. RNAcentral describes it as "12S ribosomal RNA". The record is from RNAcentral. Lineage: Eukaryota; Metazoa; Arthropoda; Insecta; Blattodea; Ectobiidae.